RNAcentral lists this long non-coding RNA (315 nucleotides) under Hordeum vulgare. RNAcentral's name for it is "long non-coding RNA (HVUL_LNC018681)". Lineage: Eukaryota; Viridiplantae; Streptophyta; Magnoliopsida; Poales; Poaceae. The record is from RNAcentral.
CUGUAAGUGUAAAUUACUCCCUCCCAGCUGACGCGCAAAAGGUAGCGCCUCUAGCUAAGCUAACCAAUUGGAGCGUGCUACCUGCUGCUAGCCUCAGCUCCGGGCAGAGUGGAUCAGUGCAGUGACUGAGCAUUGCAACUUGCCCUCAUUUCCUUGGUCCUGCGACUACUAACUGAUUCGAGGGAAAGCUUCAUCAACCCAUGCAUGCCUGGAAAGCAUGCAUACAGUAAGUUUUAACUGAUUAGUUUUCUCUCCCCUUUACUUAGUGGACUCAAUGUUCGUGCGUACGCAUCGCAUUGAUAUAAUGAUAUAUAU